Long non-coding RNA from Myiozetetes cayanensis, 2084 nucleotides. RefSeq lists it as uncharacterized. NCBI's taxonomy places the organism in Eukaryota, Metazoa, Chordata, Aves, Passeriformes, Tyrannidae. The transcript has 2 exons. The record is from RefSeq and is a predicted model, not a curated record.
UUUUUGCACAUGCUCAGUUGCAAAGUUUUCCCCAUGCAUGUUCCUGGGCUGUGUUACCGGCGUCCGUGGUCUGGGGUUUUCUUUGUGGGCCGGGGUCUCUGUGAUGAAGAUUUUUAGUCUUCCUCGAUGUCCGCAAGAUGAACCCGGCUUGGAGCAUGCGCCUUUAAUAGGUGACUGUUCCUCAUUCACGUCAGGUCCUAAAGCAACACAGCUGGGCAGUGCUGGAGGGUGGGAUCCUCUCCCAGUGCUGAUGUGGGGAGCUGGCAGUGCCUCCUAUGUGUGAUCCUACUGUCACAGCUUGUAAGGACUUAAAGAGCACUGUGGCCUGUCUCAAACACUGUCAAGGCCACAGAAGGAAGUUGCCACAAGAUAAUCCACCCCAGUGGGAACUUCAGAUAAGCACAGAAGAGAGGAAUUUGCAACAGGAAGGUGCUAAUUCCAGGCCUACCAGAGGCCAGAUCUGGUCAGCACAUCCUAAUUAAUGCAUCUAUACAACAAUUCCAGCUGUGACAAACUGUGGGAAAGGAAUAAACUGCUCACACACCCCAAGUCACCACAGCCUCUGCAACCACCCUGUGGAUACCUGGAACUUGGACUGUAUUCACAGAAGAAUGGCUCUGGGACACCACUCCCACCAAGAAGCCCAGGAUGAAGGAGGACCAACAGGACACUGCUGGAUACACAGGUGGUGACUAUCCUACUUGAUCUCACUCUCUCCCCCUUUUUCUAUUUCUUUCUCUCUACCUCACCUCUAUUGUUAAAUAAAAUAGGUAUUAUUAUACUUGGGCAUAUGGUCUCAUUUGCACCUUAAUUUAGGCAGAUGCAUUUCUCACAGAUCUUAAUACAGCUCAGCCCUGAGCAGUGGCUUCAAGGAGGUUUGUGACCCUCUGCUCCCUCAUCCCACCUUGGCUGUCAAGGAAGAAGACAGCUCUAGUAGCAGCUGCUGAGCUGUCCCCAUAGCAGCUGCCAGUUCACCAAGAAAGUCUCCUUUUGAAGCCAAGACUCCUGGAGGGAGACUUACUGGGAAAAGACAGGUUUUGAGGACAAGAUGCUUUAUCCAGCAAAGCUGACAGAAAACAGCAAUUUUUCUAUUGAAGCAACCCUUCCCUGAGCUAUGCAGGAGAAGGAGACAAAGACCAUGAGAACCACAUCCCUACUCAGGGCAGGUGACUCUAGCUCCAUCUUUUGUGUAGUCCCACUAUAUAACUCCUUAACGUGCAUAUUUACAUUCAAGUGGUUUUGCCCAGUCGGCCAGCCCCUGGGACUGAGAAUGGUUUUGUCCAGGUGAAUUUUCGGACAAGAAGCCAAUUAAAACUCUCAGUAACCCCUUUGCUAAUUACAUAUUUAAGAAAACGGAAGAAAAGGGGAUUGCACAGUUGAAAUUAAGAGCAGCAGCCAUGUAGAAGAGCAGUGGGCCCAAGGGGGGCUAGGCCCCCUCCUCCCCCAGCCCUGGGCCAGAGGCAGGUAUAGCAUUGAAACUCCCCCUUCUCUUCUGUAAGAGAGUGAAGAAAAAAAAACUUUAAAAGACAAACUUCUUGGACAGAAACUGUGGCAGAAGAAUUGCAGCAAAGAGAAAAUGGAGUGUCCAAGGUCAAAAUUAGCAGCCAGAGGAGAGAGAAGAACUGUGCAAAGGGGGACUUGCUUCUCCUCCUCUUUUACUCUCUCCCUUCAGCAGGGAAAAGACUGAAAAGUAAUCCCUGCUACCUAUGGAAGUUUGUUGGGGUGAGGAGACCCCCCAUGCAGCUCACAGAGGAGCUCGUAGAUGAUGUACCAAGAAGUCGAGACUUCAUGAGAGACCUGAGGUGAGGCAGAGUCCUGUUGAAGACUUUGUGACCCUGAAGGAAACCCACGCUCAGGUGGGGUGUUGGGAUCUUAGUGAGAGAUCCAUGCUGCAGAGUUACUGGAGAGAGAAAGCUGGAACUCCAAGAAUGGAGAAAAGAACUCCUUCUCCUCCUUGGACUGAUAUAAAAGGGGGAGAGGAAUAUUUCUGUAAAUACAUAGUACUUUUACUUAAGUAGAAUUAUUGUAGAUAUAGUUCUUUAGUUUUAGCUUAUUAGUAAUAAAUGCUAAUACAUUUUCCCCCA